Molecule: long non-coding RNA, 809 nt
Filed under: Triticum aestivum (bread wheat)
Lineage: Eukaryota; Viridiplantae; Streptophyta; Magnoliopsida; Poales; Poaceae
Description: long non-coding RNA (TAES_LNC025165)
Source: RNAcentral
GGCAGAAGGAGCAGUUUAGUGAUGGUGUUGGGUAUAGCUGGAUUGAUGGCCUGAAGGAUCAUGCAGCCUCAAAUGUAAAUGAACAAUUUUUUUAUUUUAAAGAAUUCUUUAUGAUGUUUGUUUUGACAAAACUAAUACAUUCCCUGAUAGAAAGAUGUGACCACAAUAUCUGACCUAUAUGAAAUGAAAUCACUGAAUGCAGGUGAGUGAUAAGAUGAUGUCCAAUGCAAAGUUCAUCUACCCACACAACACCCCAACAACUAAAGAGGCCUACUAUUACAGGAUGAUCUUUGAGAGGUACUUCCCCCAGGUGAGUGACUAAAUAGAACAGGUUGAAGAACAACAUGAAUAGUUCAAUACCAUUGUAGCAAUGUUAAUGGAAGCAAUGUUGGUUGCUUGAUCUUGUUUCAGAGCUCGGCGAUCCUCACGGUGCCAGGCGGGCCAAGCGUGGCGUGCAGCACAGCCAAGGCUAUAGAGUGGGAUGCCCAAUGGUCUGGGAACCUGGACCCCUCUGGGAGAGCAGCGCUUGGAGUCCAUCUCUCAGCCUACGAGCAGGACACGGUCGCUGUGGGAGGUAGCAACAAGCCUGGGGUGAUGAACACCGUGGUACCUGGUGUUGCCAUUGAGACUUGAUGAAUGGUACAUGUAUCAUAUCGUGUCCUACUAAAGGCAAAUAAGAACGGUUGUGUGCAUCGCUUCAUGUAGAGGCCGGGCAUACUCCUUUUCAAAAAAAAAAGAGAAAAUAAGAUGCAUAUGUUCUUGUCAGCGUUGUAAUAAGACGGGCCUAUGUUUUGCUAUUUAAUUAAAGG